This 79-nucleotide small nucleolar RNA is filed under the name Lonchura striata (white-rumped munia). Its description in RNAcentral is "domestica (Bengalese finch) Small nucleolar RNA SNORD111 (ENSLSDG00000015547.1)". Lineage: Eukaryota; Metazoa; Chordata; Aves; Passeriformes; Estrildidae. The record is from RNAcentral.
UGGCCUGAAAUGACAUUCUGAGUUCAUGUUCUCUUCUCUGAGAUGUCUCCUGGAGAUAGAUGCAUUUCUGAUCAGGCUU